AUCAAAGACAUCUCUCUUUGUUAUUAUAAAAAUAAAGAGUUGGGCCUGCUCGGUGAAAAUUUUAACAGCUGCGGUAUUUUAACUGUACUAAGGUAGCAUAAUAAUUUGCCUUAUAAUUUGAGGCUAGAAUGAAUGGUUUGACGAAGGUUAAUCUGUCUCUAUUUUAUUUUUUAGAAAUUAAUUUUCAUAGUGAAAAAGCUUGAAUUUUUUAAAGGGACGAGAAGACCCUAUUGAGCUUAUAAUUUUGUUAUUAUUAUAUUUAUAUUAAUAUAGUAAUUUAUAAAUUUUAAUUGGGGUGAUUAAGGAAUAAAGAUAAAUAUGUAAGUAACUUCCUUAAUAAAUUAUAUUGUUAAAUGAAGUAACCAAUAUAAUAUUAGUAAUAAUAUAUAUUGCUUAUAGUAUAGUUACCAUAGGGAUAACAGCGUAAUUUACUUGGAGAGUUCUUAUUGAUAAGUAAGAUUGCGACCUCGAUGUUGGAUUAAAGUAACCUUAAGGUGCAGAAGCUUUAUAAGGUAAAUCUGUUCGAUUUNAAAACUUUACAUGAUCUGAGU
RNAcentral lists this ribosomal RNA (551 nucleotides) under Afrololigo mercatoris. RNAcentral's name for it is "partial 16S ribosomal RNA". It matches the Rfam family "Bacterial large subunit ribosomal RNA", at positions 1806 to 2610 of the family's 2925-position model. Lineage: Eukaryota; Metazoa; Mollusca; Cephalopoda; Myopsida; Loliginidae. The record is from RNAcentral.